RNAcentral lists this long non-coding RNA (632 nucleotides) under Parus major (Great Tit). Its description in RNAcentral is "lncRNA (ENSPMJG00000013239.1)". Lineage: Eukaryota; Metazoa; Chordata; Aves; Passeriformes; Paridae. The record is from RNAcentral.
GUCCAUCGUAACAACAGUGAGCGACCAAGUUUUCAAGUUUGCAAGAAGCUUUCAACACUAAGUCAAAACUCAUCCUGUCCUCAUCCCAUGGCCCCAAGGUGCAAACUGCACCUUCUUGCAGCACAGCUCUGUCCUGCACCUCCACCAUGCCAUGGGGAACCAUCCAGAGACCUCCCAGCUGGCUGAGACCAGGCAGGGCAAGGGUAGAGGUUACAGUAUUUCCAUAAAUGAAUGCACAGCUCAGAGAGAGCCCUGAAGGAUCAUAAAGAACAUUUAUAUCUGGAAUGACCUUCCCACCAAGAAGCUGCUUUAUGGUCCCCAAAAGCCACCUAAGAACCCAUGUGCUCCCAGGACUAAGCUGCUGAUGCACACGGCAGUUGGUGUCUCUUGGAGGUGAGGAGAGACGGGUACCCCCACAUUUUAUCCACGCUUCUCUGCUUUCUCUGGAUCUGGUUCAGCAGCAAUGGAGACUUGCCAUGGACAUGUUGAACAGCCACGUGGUGGGGUUCUGUGAGCUGAGCCAAGCCAAGCAGUGUGAUGCCUCUAAGUGAAGGAAGGAAGGGAAGAAUUUGAUUGGGAAUACGCAGAGAAGAGGGCAACAGCAAACUAAAGAGGGAGUUCUAAACACAGUA